CACAUGCAAGUCGCACGAGAACGCCCGGGCCUAGCCGGGGCAAGUACAGUGGCGGACGGGUGCGUAACGCGUAGAUAACCUGCCCUCAGGCGCGGGACAAUCGCGGGAAACCGCGGCUAAUACCGCACGACGUCCGGAUCCCGCAUGGGAGCCGGAUGAAACCUUGGGUUCGCCCAGGGGCCUUUGGAUGGGUCUGCGUCGGAUUAGCUUGUUGGUGAGGUAACGGCUCACCAAGGUAGCGAUCCGUAGCUGGUCUGAGAGGACGAUCAGUCACACUGGGACUGAGACACGGCCCAGACUCCUACGGGAGGCAGCAGUGGGGAAUCUUGCACAAUGGGGUCACCCCUGAUGCAGCCAUGCCGCGUGGAGGAAGACACCCCUAUGGGGCGUAAACUCCUUUUCUGAGAGAAGAAGCCCCUGUAGGUUCAGGGCGUGACGGUAUCCCAGGAAUAAGCACCGGCUAACUCCGUGCCAGCAGCCGCGGUAAUACGGAGGGUGCAAGCGUUGUCCGGAAUCACUGGGCGUAAAGGGUGCGCAGGCGGGGCAGCAAGUCGGAGGUGAAAGCCCGUGGCUCAACCACGGAAGUGCCUUCGAAACUGUUGCUCUUGAGUCCCGGAGAGGUUGCCGGAAUUCGUGGUGUAGCGGUGAAAUGCGUAGAUAUCACGAGGAACACCAGAGGCGAAAGCGGGCAACUGGACGGGUACUGACGCUCAGGCACGAAAGCGCGGGGAGCAAACAGGAUUAGAUACCCUGGUAGUCCGCGCCGUAAACGAUGAAUGCUCGCCGUUAUCCCGCUUAAGGGAUAGUGGCUAAGCUAACGCGUUAAGCAUUCCGCCUGGGGAGUAUGGUCGCAAGGC
This 857-nucleotide ribosomal RNA is filed under the name uncultured Bacteroidota bacterium. RNAcentral's name for it is "bacterial SSU rRNA". It matches the Rfam family "Bacterial small subunit ribosomal RNA", at positions 52 to 894 of the family's 1533-position model. The record is from RNAcentral. Lineage: Bacteria; Pseudomonadati; Bacteroidota.